This 487-nucleotide ribosomal RNA is filed under the name Laparocerus oromii. RNAcentral's name for it is "partial 16S ribosomal RNA". It matches the Rfam family "Bacterial large subunit ribosomal RNA", at positions 1819 to 2576 of the family's 2925-position model. The record is from RNAcentral. Lineage: Eukaryota; Metazoa; Arthropoda; Insecta; Coleoptera; Curculionidae.
GGCUUUUUGAUUAUAAUUUAAGGUCUAACCUGCCCAAUGAGGAUUUAAAUGGCCGCGGUAUUUUGACCGUGCAAAGGUAGCAUAAUCAUUAGUUUUUUAAUUGAAAGCUGGAAUGAAAGGUUGGAUGAGAAAUAAGCUGUCUCUAUUUAAUUUAUUUAGAAUUUUAUUUUUAAGUUAAAAAGCUUAAAUUUUAAUAGAAGACGAGAAGACCCUAUAGAGUUUUAUUUAUUUUUUAAAUAAGAUUAAUAGUAUUAAUUAUUUUUAUUUAAAAAAUAAAUUUAGUUGGGGUGAUUGAAAAAUUUAAUAAACUUUUUUUAUAUUUGUACAUUAAUAUAUGAUUAAUUGAUCCUUAGUUUAAGAUUAAAAGAUAAAAUUACCUUAGGGAUAACAGCGUAAUUUUUUUUGAGAGUUCAAAUCGAAAAAAAAGAUUGCGACCUCGAUGUUGGAUUAAAAUAAAAUUUUGGUGUAGAAGCUAAAAUAUUUAGGC